This 332-nucleotide ribosomal RNA is filed under the name Pectobacterium carotovorum subsp. carotovorum. Its description in RNAcentral is "bacterial SSU rRNA". It matches the Rfam family "Bacterial small subunit ribosomal RNA", at positions 1154 to 1485 of the family's 1533-position model. The record is from RNAcentral. Lineage: Bacteria; Pseudomonadati; Pseudomonadota; Gammaproteobacteria; Enterobacterales; Pectobacteriaceae.
GGUGAUAAACCGGAGGAAGGUGGGGAUGACGUCAAGUCAUCAUGAUCUAUACGAGUAGGGCUACACACGUGCUACAAUGGCGUAUACAAAGAGAAGAGACCUCGCGAGAGCAAGCGGACCUCAUAAAGUACGUCGUAGUCCGGAUUGGAGUCUGCAACUCGACUCCAUGAAGUCGGAAUCGCUAGUAAUCGUAGAUCAGAAUGCUACGGUGAAUACGUUCCCGGGCCUUGUACACACCGCCCGUCACACCAUGGGAGUGGGUUGCAAAAGAAGUAGGUAGCUUAACCUUCGGGAGGGCGCUUACCACUUUGUGAUUCAUGACUGGGGUGAAG